ACGGGUGAGUAAUGUCUGGGGAUCUGCCCGAUAGAGGGGGAUAACCACUGGAAACGGUGGCUAAUACCGCAUAACGUCGCAAGACCAAAGAGGGGGACCUUCGGGCCUCUCACUAUCGGAUGAGCCCAGAUGGGAUUAGCUAGUAGGCGGGGUAACGGCCCACCUAGGCGACGAUCCCUAGCUGGUCUGAGAGGAUGACCAGCCACACUGGAACUGAGACACGGUCCAGAUCUCUACGGGAGGCAGCAGUGGGGAAUAUUGCACAAUGGGCGCAAGCCUGAUGCAGCCAUGCCGCGUGUAUGAAGAAGGCCUUCGGGUUGUAAAGUACUUUCAGCGGGGAGGAAGGCGAUAAGGUUAAUAACCUUGUCGAUUGACGUUACCCGCAGAAGAAGCACCGGCUAACUCCGUGCCAGCAGCCGCGGUAAUACGGAGGGUGCAAGCGUUAAUCGGAAUUACUGGGCGUAAAGCGCACGCAGGCGGUCUGUUAAGUCAGAUGUGAAAUCCCCGGGCUUAACCUGGGAACUGCAUUUGAAACUGGCAGGCUUGAGUCUCGUAGAGGGGGGUAGAAUUCCAGGUGUA
RNAcentral lists this ribosomal RNA (579 nucleotides) under uncultured bacterium. RNAcentral describes it as "bacterial SSU rRNA". It matches the Rfam family "Bacterial small subunit ribosomal RNA", at positions 102 to 677 of the family's 1533-position model. The record is from RNAcentral.